Molecule: small nucleolar RNA, 125 nt
Organism: Echinops telfairi (small Madagascar hedgehog)
Lineage: Eukaryota; Metazoa; Chordata; Mammalia; Afrosoricida; Tenrecidae
Product: small nucleolar RNA SNORA51
Exons: 1
Source: RefSeq, a predicted model, not a curated record
AAACACAUAUAACCACAGGCUGUACCCUUGCAUUGACUAUGUAGAAAAAGGGGCAAAGUAAGUGCCCAGUAUCCACCUCAACCCAAGCUCUGUGCCUGGUUUGUAUUGUGAAUGGGGCAACAUGG